CGGGUCAGUUCCAGGAGCUCCGCACUCCCAGCCAUCUCAGGGCAUUGUCGGAUCUCCUCCCAGAGUCCAGGGAAACUGGAUGGACGCUCCAGGGGCCCAGCCUGUCCUUGCUCUUAACUCUGACUUGUCUGUGUGCUUCUGGUCUCUGCUUCACUCCACUCAUCCAUGACCCACAGGGUCAUCCGUACCUCCUUGUCAAGGACCGCAGGCUCCAAGGAAAGAUGGAAGGAAACAAGUAUUGUUAAGCACUUACAACGUGUACCAGGCUAAGAGCUUUACAAGUAUCUUAACUAUCCUGGGAGGUUCACCAGUACCUGCUGCUUGCCCUCCCAUGCCACAAAAAGUUGUCAGCAUCUUUCCUCAAUUUCAUAGUAUCCAAAGUCACCUGAAGAAAGAGGCUCAUCAACAGUGACAUACAGAUAUAGCAGCAUAUGGAAAGCAUGGAUGUGAAAACCUGUUUUUCAGUAUUAUGAGUUUACCUUUCUGAUUAAUAAAU
This is a long non-coding RNA of Vombatus ursinus (common wombat), 496 nucleotides long. RefSeq lists it as uncharacterized. NCBI's taxonomy places the organism in Eukaryota, Metazoa, Chordata, Mammalia, Diprotodontia, Vombatidae. The record is from RefSeq and is a predicted model, not a curated record. The transcript has 3 exons.